RNAcentral lists this small RNA (28 nucleotides) under Bombyx mori (domestic silkworm). Its description in RNAcentral is "ovarian small RNA-36124". The record is from RNAcentral. Lineage: Eukaryota; Metazoa; Arthropoda; Insecta; Lepidoptera; Bombycidae.
UGUUCUAGAUUCACUAGGCCUUUUGUUA